Molecule: long non-coding RNA, 1745 nt
Organism: Equus caballus (horse)
Lineage: Eukaryota; Metazoa; Chordata; Mammalia; Perissodactyla; Equidae
Source: Ensembl
GCCAGAAGAUGGGGUUCUCAAGUGAGAAAGGAAUGCCCACCCUGGAAGCAGAAUAUAAACAGAAAGAGACAGACAUUUCCUAGCUCCCAAGACUUUGGGGAAUAUGACAACUGGGUUCCUCUAGAGAAAAAAUGAUUGGCAACAAAUCUGGCCAACUAGGGAAUGAAUUGAAACAACCUAGGAAUGGAGCAGCCUUCAUUAAAAGGACUGGUAUCGAGAGGAUCCUUCCACCGGCCAUGUGACUGAACAGCCGUCCUCAUUCCGUCCGUGUGCACAUGCACAGAGAGGGGACUGGGGCGGCAUGCAACAAACAUCCACCAGGGGCCCUCCAGGGAAUGGGCAACUGAUUGAUGUCAGAAUCUCCUAUAAGUCACCAAGAAGAGAAUAAGGAUUUUAAGACUACUGAUGGACAGCAGCUUAAAUAAUGACAAGAUGCUACUCAAUCAGCUGAAAGUGCCUUCCUGAAGCUGUGAUACAAACCUGAAUUCCACGCAUCCAGCCCCCCUUCCGGCCCUCCUUCACAUGCUUCCCAGUCCAGAGAAGACUCCUUUCUAAUCGUCUUCCGCCGAGAUGCCCACUGACUCUCUGUGGUGCUUCCACAACUCCCAUGAAGAUGCAGCACAUGGGGUCCCCUCCCUAACAAGUGGAUGUGCCAGUAGAGGAGUAUGCCAAGCCACUCUCCUGUUUAAAAAAAUCCAUCACCCUCUGAUGUUAAACAGAGAUGGCGUUCCAGGGGAAAACCAGAUUCCCAGCAUGGACAUUCCUCUGAAACUGGUGGGGGUGCAGCUGGGCGAAGGACACUAAGAACGCCUGCCUCCCGGUGUGUGGAGAAGGCCCACGGAGAAUCAGGCGUUUUCCCUUCUGUGGCCGUCUCCUACCACACCAGCUCAUUCUUCGCACGAGCCCCUUUGGUUCCUGACUACACUGUCUCCCAAGGUCUGGUACCAUUAGGUGUAGCAGCAGGUGAGUCUUAGAAGAUGUUUCCAAAACGAAGCUCAAGUUCAAUGCCACCAGCUGCCAAAAACUACCAGCUGGCUCUCCCGGAGAGGGUGGCACACUUCGGGACACGUACUGUCCUGGAAGGCCCUCCCUGGAAGCUGAGACGUGAGACUGCGUGUGGUAGCAACAUAAUCAACACAGCUGUCUUUGAGACUUAUUCUCUCCGAGUUUUGCUUCAGGAACAAGAAAUCAUUGCAACAGGGUCUGUAAUGAGGAAAACAAAUACAUAUUUUAAAUUUGGAUUUUCCUUAAAACAUUCAACAAGCCACUAACUUCAAACAUUGUAACAACCUUAACUCCUCGCCAAAUCAAUUGCAUUAUUCAGUUUUAUUGUUUUUUUUCCUCAAUUAAACAUUGGCAACUGGAACCUGUUUCACCGAAGAGGGAAGGCGGGUUUAAUGCCAUCCCGGCCCUGGGUUAUGGAGCUGCGGAAGGCUUGUCUGUGCAGUUAUCCAGCAGCUGGAUAUUUUCAAGUCUGAAAACUCACAGUCACUCAAAGGGAUAACCUAUAUCCAUCAUCUCACAAUAAUUGUAUUGAUUCUAAGGGUAAGGGAUUAAAUCUGACUUUUAAUGCUCUACCAUUUUAUCAGUGCAUUUGAAUAAAGUUUCAGGAUCUGCACAGGCCUUUCCCAUCGGAAUUUCAUGCAUAUCCCACUCAGAUAUCCUGUGGUUCUGGCUUGUCACAGAGCCAGGCACGUGCUUAUUGGAUUAGAAAUCUAGAUAGACGUUGGGGGCAGUUGAGAGCC